UUGGGAAUGGUCGGGAUAGCUCAGCUGGUAAAGCAGAGGACUGAAAAUCCUCGUGUCUCCU
RNAcentral lists this transfer RNA (61 nucleotides) under Oreocharis dayaoshanioides. Its description in RNAcentral is "partial tRNA-Phe". Lineage: Eukaryota; Viridiplantae; Streptophyta; Magnoliopsida; Lamiales; Gesneriaceae. The record is from RNAcentral.